Molecule: transfer RNA, 73 nt
Filed under: candidate division SR1 bacterium Aalborg_AAW-1
Lineage: Bacteria; Candidatus Absconditibacteriota
Description: tRNA-Lys
Rfam family: tRNA
About the family: Transfer RNA (tRNA) molecules are approximately 80 nucleotides in length. Their secondary structure includes four short double-helical elements and three loops (D, anti-codon, and T loops). Further hydrogen bonds mediate the characteristic L-shaped molecular structure. tRNAs have two regions of fundamental functional importance: the anti-codon, which is responsible for specific mRNA codon recognition, and the 3' end, to which the tRNAs corresponding amino acid is attached (by aminoacyl-tRNA synthetases). tRNAs cope with the degeneracy of the genetic code in two manners: having more than one tRNA (with a specific anti-codon) for a particular amino acid; and 'wobble' base-pairing, i.e. permitting non-standard base-pairing at the 3rd anti-codon position.
Source: RNAcentral
GGGCUGAUAGCUCAGUCGGUAGAGCAGAAGACUCUUAAUCUUUUGGUCGCGGGUUCGAAUCCCGCUCAGCCCA